Molecule: non-coding RNA, 65 nt
Organism: Callithrix jacchus (white-tufted-ear marmoset)
Lineage: Eukaryota; Metazoa; Chordata; Mammalia; Primates; Cebidae
Source: Rfam
CCUAUGUCUUAAAGAAACAGCCUUCAAAUGCCUUUCUACAGCUUUUUAGUAGCACAAGAUAAAUU